GUAGUUAGCCGGGGCUUCCUCCAUGGGUACCGUCAUUUGUUUCUUCCCCAAGGACAGAAGUUUACGACCCGAAAGCCUUCUUCCUUCACGCGGCGUUGCUGCAUCAGGCUUUCGCCCAUUGUGCAAUAUUCCCCACUGCUGCCUCCCGUAGGAGUUUGGACCGUGUCUCAGUUCCAAUGUGGCCGAUCACCCUCUCAGGUCGGCUACUGAUCGUCGCCUUGGUGGGCCGUUACCCCGCCAACUAGCUAAUGGGACGCGAGCCCCUCUUCCUGCGGAUUUCUCCUUUGACCCCUCUGCCAUGCGACAAUGUGGUCUUAUGCGGUAUUAGCACCAGUUUCCCGGUGUUAUCCCCCUCAGAAAGUCAGGUUGCUCACGCGUUACUCACCCGUCCGCCACUAAGCUAAAUCCGAAAACUUAGCUCCGUUCGACUUGCAUGUGUUAGGCACGCCGCCAGCGUUCGUCCUGAGCCAGAAUCGAACCCUGA
RNAcentral lists this ribosomal RNA (484 nucleotides) under uncultured bacterium. RNAcentral's name for it is "partial 16S ribosomal RNA". The record is from RNAcentral.